This is a long non-coding RNA of Fukomys damarensis (Damara mole-rat), 575 nucleotides long. RefSeq lists it as uncharacterized. The record is from RefSeq and is a predicted model, not a curated record. The transcript has 3 exons. NCBI's taxonomy places the organism in Eukaryota, Metazoa, Chordata, Mammalia, Rodentia, Bathyergidae.
GGUUUCCAGGAGGUGAGAAGCACAUCUCCCACCAACAUGUCCUGUGCACCCUGGGCCUGCAGCACCAGAACUGAGCUGGGGACCUAGGAGCACAUGGGCUGUUGUUAUGACAACAUAACUCACAGUGAAGAAAGACUCUUCUUUAACACAACAGUUGUCCACAUCAUGGAGGAAGCUUUGCACAUCGACCUUAGAUGGGAUACAAUUCAGUCUGAAAUGGUCGCCUGACACUGACAGACAGCCUCUGGAGUUAGCAGAGUUGGGGGUGUUUGUGCUCAGUAGUUCUGCAGCGGCACGCACAGCCAGUGCACUUUGUCUCGCCUGUGACUGGGCUCUAGUCGGGAGAAACAGCUCUCCCUGAACCUUUUUGCUCAAGCCUCGUGGUGGUGGGAAAGCGAUGAAGUUAAAGAGGCCCAGCCGAGCUUCGGGGCUUCACUGUGCUCACCCCCGCGCCAGCAGAGAGUGAAUUUACCUGUUCUGUGCUGUGCUGAAAUUGGCUGUGCUCGCCGACCUAAAAUGCGCUCCGCAGAGCGAAGAUUGACAGCAUUUCACCUCCGCUAAUUACGAUGAAGCUC